RNAcentral lists this ribosomal RNA (233 nucleotides) under uncultured bacterium. Its description in RNAcentral is "partial 16S ribosomal RNA". It matches the Rfam family "Bacterial small subunit ribosomal RNA", at positions 16 to 244 of the family's 1533-position model. The record is from RNAcentral.
AUCCUGGCUCAGGACGAACGCUGGCGGCGCGCCUAACACAUGCAAGUCGAACGAGCGAGAGAGAGCUUGCUUUCUCAAGCGAGUGGCGAACGGGUGAGUAACGCGUGAGGAACCUGCCUCAAAGAGGGGAACAACAGUUGGAAGCGACUGCUAAUACCGCAUAAGCCCACGGGUCGGCAUCGACCAGAGGGAAAAGGAGCAAUCCGCUUUGAGAUGGCCUCGCGUCCGAUUAG